CGCGGGACCCGAGCUCUGGGGGAGUAAAUCAUCCCCACUUUAAACGCACCUUCUGCCAGGGCUCCAGUUGGGAGCGCCUUGCCAUUGCUAAACACAUCCUAGGGACUCCUGCCCCUCUCAGCAUGCCUGGAUCCCUMAGAUCGGUGGGGUUUCGAGACUUCCUCCCUCCUUUUGCCCUGCACGAGAGUGCUUUGCUGGGUGCGCAAGUGUGCGUGCGAGGAGCGGAGAGGAGCGCCGGSAGGGAGAUUGGGACAAUAGCUGGAGCGGAUUAUUCAUUCCCGUAGGCAAUACUUCCCUGUAUGGGCUUCAGGAUGCAGUUGGGAGCUUGGGAACAAAGCGGGCAUCGAAUGUCAAGGCUCCUUUUGAGGAAGCAGUGGUUCUGCUGGAACCCCAUGCCUGGACUUUGGAGGGCAUGGUGCAGUGGCCUGAAAGCACUGUCCCUGCAGGUGGAAACCAUGCUCAGUAUCAUGCGCCUUGCAAGAAACACAGCGAGGGGACACUUGGAGUAACCCAGCAUCUGGCAUCGGGCACAGCACUCCACUUCCACACUACUGCGAGGGAAAGUUURCUCCCAAACCACAUACUUUGUGGUGUUCAGUGCUUGUGUCAAACUGGUUUGAGCUGUCCCAAGUCUAAAAUAAAGAUCUCCAUUGUGGUAUGCCAGUGAGCUUGUCUUGCUAAACCUUCCCCAUUUAUGCUGAAAGUACAGAGCUGAUGUAAUGCUGUCUUUUCACCCACGGAUGGGUGCAAUAGGAACAAUUCAGAAAAGUUCURUUUAGCUUUUUUUCCCCUUGUAGUUGAAGAAAAGCAAGCUAUCAGAAACAAGCCUAUGUUUGAAGGUACAGUUUGCAACAUGUGAGYGGGAAACAUAUGUACUGGCACUAUUCAACAGCUCUGUAAGGGCUGUGCUCAAAUUUUGGCUUUUAAUCUCAACUCUGUUAGAGAGAGAUGCAAAAUGGAAUGGAACCUGAUUAUUUAUGCUAUAGCCUUGUGAUGCUCAUCCUAUAACUGUUGGGGAGAGAAGCAAAACACUCUGCUAAAGCUUAGGGUGAGCCUGAGUUUCAGGGGGACUCUAGUCUUCACAGGUUCUCACUUCACUGCCUUCCUUCCCUUAGUAUUUG
Malurus melanocephalus (red-backed fairy wren) is the source of this 1121-nucleotide long non-coding RNA. RefSeq lists it as uncharacterized. The record is from RefSeq and is a predicted model, not a curated record. The transcript is spliced from 4 exons. Lineage: Eukaryota; Metazoa; Chordata; Aves; Passeriformes; Maluridae.